RNAcentral lists this ribosomal RNA (492 nucleotides) under uncultured bacterium. Its description in RNAcentral is "partial 16S ribosomal RNA". It matches the Rfam family "Bacterial small subunit ribosomal RNA", at positions 29 to 507 of the family's 1533-position model. The record is from RNAcentral.
AGUGAACGCUGGCGGUAGGCCUAACACAUGCAAGUCGAACGGCAGCACAGUAAGAGCUUGCUCUUACGGGUGGCGAGUGGCGGACGGGUGAGGAAUACAUCGGAAUCUACUUUUUCGUGGGGGAUAACGUAGGGAAACUUACGCUAAUACCGCAUACGACCUACGGGUGAAAUCAGGGGAUCUUCGGACCUUGCGCGAUUGAAUGAGCCGAUUUCGGAUUAGCUAGUUGGCGGGGUAAAGGCCCACCAAGGCGACGAUCCGUAGCUGGUCUGAGAGGAUGAUCAGCCACACUGGAACUGAGACACGGUCCAGACUCCUACGGGAGGCAGCAGUAGGGAAUAUUGGACAAUGGGCGCAAGCCUGAUCCAGCCAUACCGCGUGAGUGAAGAAGGCCUUCGGGUUGUAAAGCCCUUUUGUUGGGAAAGAAAAGCAGCAGGUUAAUACCCCGCUGUUCUGACGGUACCCAAAGAAUAAGCACCGGCUAACUUCGUG